AACGAACGCUGGCGGCAUGCCUAACACAUGCAAGUCGAACGAGACCUUCGGGUCUAGUGGCGCACGGGUGCGUAACGCGUGGGAACCUGCCCUUAGGUUCGGAAUAACUCCCCGAAAGGGGUGCUAAUACCGGAUAAUGUCUUCGGACCAAAGAUUUAUCGCCUUUGGAUGGGCCCGCGUUGGAUUAGCUAGUUGGUAGGGUAAAAGCCUACCAAGGCGACGAUCCAUAGCUGGUCUGAGAGGAUGAUCAGCCACACUGGGACUGAGACACGGCCCAGACUCCUACGGGAGGCAGCAGUGGGGGAUAUUGGACAAUGGGCGGAAGCCUGAUCCAGCAAUGCCGCGUGAGUGAUGAAGGCCUUAGGGUUGUAAAGCUCUUUUACCCGGGAUGAUAAUGACAGUACCGGGAGAAUAAGCACCGGCUAACUCCGUG
Molecule: ribosomal RNA, 433 nt
Filed under: uncultured bacterium
Lineage: Bacteria
Description: partial 16S ribosomal RNA
Rfam family: Bacterial small subunit ribosomal RNA
Source: RNAcentral